AAAGAACUGUUCCUGGUUUACAUUCUGUGUGUUGUCCUUGGUGGUCGUGAACAAGUGUUGGCAAAUGGUCAUAAAUUGAAUAAUGUCCUGUCUGAAAUUUGCUUAGGAUUAAUUGUAUGGGACCUGCUCAAUAUAUUUUAUGUUAAUACUCUCAUUUUCAAUUUGGUCAUUGUGGUUAUUUUGUUUGUGUUUUUAUUAGCGCCAAGAAGCUUGUGUAAUCAAAUAAUGGUGUUGGAUAUGCAUCUAGAGUCAUACACCAGUUGCUAUGGGUAGAAUGAUGAUUAUGAUUCCAUGGUAGCACUAGCUGAUUUGAUUUAAAUCUCCCUGUCACAGUUUUU
This 338-nucleotide unclassified non-coding RNA is filed under the name Hevea brasiliensis (rubber tree). The record is from RNAcentral. Lineage: Eukaryota; Viridiplantae; Streptophyta; Magnoliopsida; Malpighiales; Euphorbiaceae.